This is a long non-coding RNA of Taeniopygia guttata (zebra finch), 3588 nucleotides long. NCBI's taxonomy places the organism in Eukaryota, Metazoa, Chordata, Aves, Passeriformes, Estrildidae. The record is from Ensembl.
UGGCGCGCGCGCUCAGGGGGGUGGGCGGGGUUACCUGCUCCAAGGUGUGCCGGGCGGGGUGCGGGGAAGAUCUUGAGGGCAGAGCUGGGGGGUCUGGGGAGCGGUGAGGGAGAGCGCGGGGGGCACGGGCGGGAUUUGGGCUGCCGGGAGCGCGGCUGGAAGCGACUGGGGCGGCGUGAGGGGAGCGGCCGAGGGGGCGGCCGUGGCCCUGGGGCGGGCGGGGAAGCCUGCAGGAGGAGGCGGCCGCAGCAGCAGGAGCGGCGAGGGGCGGGCAGCCGGGCGGAAGUGUGGGGGUUUUUCUUUUUUUUUUUUUUUCUUCCUCCGAGGGUUUUUCACUACCUACUUUGGUGCGAUCUCGGGCGGGCGGUGCUGAUUGGCUCGGGCUGCUGCGGCAGAGCCCGGCGCUCCCCGCCGGCAGCCGCGGGUCCCGGAUCCCGGCGCUGCUCCGUGCCGGAACAACGAGCAGCUUGUCCUCGGAACAAAGGCGGCCCUGACAAAACGCUGCUGCCGAGGCCGGGGCGCUCCGAGAAUUUGCUCUUCCAUGUUCAUGGCAGGUCCCUUGGAGGCACUAGAUAUGCCAGGAGUGUCCAGACUGUGGGUCUGCUGGUCUUCAGGCACAGAGCAGUGGUGGCACCCAGCUCAGAACCAGAUGUCAAGGUGGGCAUUAAAGAGAAAACCCUGUAUGUGAGCUGUUUGUGUGAGGUGGAGUGGUUUGGUUCCUCCAGAUCCCCUGAGACCCAAACUGUUUAAGGGCUGCUGGACACUUGAUUGGGACUGUUACCUAAGAAGGCAGUGCUAAAAUCAGGUAGGAAAAAGUGGAGGCCUCUUGUUUUGAGAAAAUAAUGUCAAUCCAAGCUCUUUUUCACCCAAAUUCCAUUGGAUUUUGUUUGGGUCUUGCUUCUGGUUUGGGGUGUCAUGAAACCUGGAUGGGUGACAGUAAUCUGGUUGCUGUUGAUUUUGUCAUUAAUCAAACACAGGUACCUCCUGGCCUGAGAAUGUGUGUCCCAGCACAGCUUGCAUGCCUGGUCUGGAGAAAGGGAUAGCAGGUUUGUGAGGAGGAGCUGGGAGUUGUGCUGGGCUCUGAAACAGGCAUCCAUGCACUAGACACCAUCGUGUUCAGUGUUCAGGUCUGACUGGUCUCAGUGCACUGGGAGGGGGCAGCAUAGGACUGUGUUCCUGUUAUACCAAGGGUUCCAUGUGAGCAGGGAAAAGCAUGGCGCCACUGAAAGUCCCAUCUCUGCAAAUUCACGUUUUGCCACGAGGGAGCUCCCAUUCCUCAUACCAGUACUAUGGUGAGAAAACAGAGUCCAACAUGGCCAAAAAAAAAAAAAAAAAAAAAAAAAAAUCCCCCAGUCUCCACCGGAUCCCAGCAAUUGUGUAAGGGCUGGACUCUGUAGUGCUUGCUCUGGCUUUAAAAAAUAUUAUUUUAGUGUUUGGAUGGGUUUUGCUCUUUCAUUGAAGGUUUCUUAGGAAUGGGAGAACAUUGAGGAUGGGAAUAUUGAAGCUGGCUAAUGACAGAAAACACAGUGAGCAGGUGGAAAUGUGGUGACAGCAAUGCAUUUUUCCCUCACUCUGGUGGUUUUGGACAGUCUUGGUAGAAUAGCAGAGCUGGAGAGGGUCUGCCUGCAGCCAUGCCCUUGCUGCUAGUUGACCUACAGAGAAGAACGUGGCACAUGUGUUUUGAGAAAGAGUGUUGACACAUGCAGUAGGUUUAGUUUGGUACUAAUUCGAGUUUUUAGUCACCAGUGAUAUGACUUUUUCUGGUUGAUUACAGGGUUGAAGCAUUUACUCCCCCAGACUAUGUAAUUCUGACCUUUUCCAUCUAUUCUCCUACCUUCCAAUGCCUGGUUUCUUUCCUGCUCUUAUCUGGCACUUUCACAAACACAUUUUUCAACCUCCCACAUCCCUACAUUGCUGAGGAGACAAGUCUUUCCCACUUGGAGGAAAAGAUAAUUGGUAUAGUUGAAACAUGAUCGGUAUAAUUGAAUGAUGAUUAAUUAAUUAAUAAUUGGUGAAAAAUUAGUAGUCAGAAUACUACAGUCAGUUUGGAAAAAUGCUCCCUUUUUGAGGGUUGGUGUGAUUGAUGUGAGGUUAGGUGUGGCAGAGUAAUGUGUUCUCUGUGUUCCUGCUAGUUGUAUUAGUAUUAGACCACAGCAAGGGACAUCCGAGUUUGUAACCAGAAAAAUGUUUCCAAGGAUGAGGAUAGCAAAGCAGUAGACCAAAUUACUGGGGCAAGAAAUUAUUGUCCUUUCUUGGAGGUUCUUAAAAAGCAGCAUUAAAAAAUGGCAUAAUUCCUGUCCCUGUCCUCAGAUAGUCUGUCACAGGACAUCCUCAGCAAAGGUUUCUGUAGCACACAGACAGAAGGGUGGAAGGACAUCUCUAGAGAUCUGCCUGGCAAUUCUCCUCAUCUCAGGCCUAGACUCUUUCCUGUCAUGGAUCCACAAAGGCUGUGUGCACUGUCUGUUGGAAACUGAGUCACAUCAUAUCAGGGAAGAGAAAAAAGUCCUUCAAAAUCCAAGCAGUUCCCAGGAGAACAAUUUUUUCUCCAGGAAAACAAAGACACAGCUCUGGCACUUUUCAGUCCAGUGUGACUUCCUUCUGACUCUGGUUGGAGUUUGCUGUCCAGGGGAGACAGGGGGAAAUGUUUCAAUUUAGGGUGAGUUUAGGAGUGUAUGUUGGAAGACCAGCAUAUGCUGGCAUGCAUCUGUGUGGGAACAUCUAUGGGCAAAAAAGCUAAAGCUCUUUUAAGUGGAAGGACUUGCUUCAUCAUUUAUUUACAUGCUUCAACACUUGCAUUUUGGUGAGGGCUCAAAUAUUUUGUGUAUUAGCCCGAACAAACACAGCAGAGGGCUCUUCUAAACUGUUGAUGAAAUCAUUGAGGGCGUUUGUGGCUACCUGUGAUUUUCUACUUUUUUGAGUUUCCUUUGAGAUGUGAACCUAAAAUCUGGCACUCAUGGGCCCCAUGCGACUUUGUGCUGUUCUUGGGAGCACUGCUUCUCUAUAAAACAAUGUCUUGAUCCAUACAAGUACAGAUGUUUGUUUGUUUGUCUAUGGCAGGUGUAGUAUCAAUGAUAUGUCCUUGUUGAGCUAUCCAAGUAAUGCUUUAAUGGCAAUUCUUUAAAGAAGUUAAAAAUAGUCCAUUGUAGUACACUGGUUCAGCAAAUACUGCAAUAAAACUUUUGGAAUAGAGACUGAAUGACAGAAAUAAGUGAGUUAUGUGUGGAGGGGAAAUGAAAAGCAUUUUUUUAUGGCAUGUUGCAGUGGUUACUAAACUUUACAGCUUUCUCAGCAGUCUCAGGAUGUUGUAUUUUUUUUCCUUAAAAGCUGCUGGAAGAAGACAUUGCAUAAGAAUUUCCAUUUUCUAAUUAAAAAAAAAAAAUCUCUCAUGGUUGCUUAAAAAACAUGAAAACAUGAGCUGAAUGUUCCAGAUAGGAUGUUGAAAUCAAAACCAAACAGGAUGGAAAUCUUGGUUCAUAGAUUUAUACUCCAGCCAGCAAACAAACAGCCUUAGAUUGGCUUAGAAAUUCUGCAGUUUGGAAAUGUAUCAAUGUCUGAAUUUUGGGACCUGACUGCAGGCAUGAGGGCACA